GCUUGGAGCUGUGUCUUUUGUCGCUGUGCUUCGAGCUGCGUCUUUUGUCGCUGUGCUUCGGAGAAAUGGCGAAACGACAGCAAGGCAGGCGUGGGGACUGGUAAGGAUAUGGUUCCUUCCCAAGUUUUAAACAUCUGUUGCUCCGUAGUCGUCUUCUGCACUGUACAGAUACGGCCUGCUUCACCAUUCUUCACCACGCUUCUCCUUCUUUGUAGGCAACCUAAGGCUUGGAAGACAGUUUCCCUGCUGUUCACUGUGGCUGUGGUGUCCUUCGGUCUUUACUGCGUUGGAAGUCUUGUUGCUGGAGGCUCAAGGGCAGUGGAAAAAAAGACUUCAUGGCUGGUGGGUGAUGAUCUGGAAAUGCUGAGGGUGGAACAAGAGCUCAACAAGAUCCAGCAGCAGCUUCGUUUCCUGCAAUGGGGAG
This is a long non-coding RNA of Lagopus leucura (white-tailed ptarmigan), 424 nucleotides long. RefSeq lists it as uncharacterized. The transcript has 3 exons. NCBI's taxonomy places the organism in Eukaryota, Metazoa, Chordata, Aves, Galliformes, Phasianidae. The record is from RefSeq and is a predicted model, not a curated record.